AUGGCGACUGUUGCUGCAAAGCUGGGCGUUCUAAUGGCUUGUGCAUUGCUGCUCCUCGCCGUCGGGUGCCAGGCCAGCCCUUUCUGGCCACUGGAGGUCGGGUUCUACCACGACAAGUGCCCCCAAGCGGAGGCCGUUGUCAAGGGCGUCAUGGAGAAGGCCAUCUCCCAGAACCCCGGCAAUGGCGCCGCCAUGAUCCGCAUGCUCUUCCACGACUGUUUCGUCGAGGUACUGCAAGAAACGAAUUUGCAAACGUAUACUAUAUACAGCCGAUUGGUCAGGCUUGAUUAA
RNAcentral lists this ribosomal RNA (291 nucleotides) under Triticum aestivum (bread wheat). RNAcentral describes it as "partial small subunit ribosomal RNA". The record is from RNAcentral. Lineage: Eukaryota; Viridiplantae; Streptophyta; Magnoliopsida; Poales; Poaceae.